This 253-nucleotide ribosomal RNA is filed under the name uncultured bacterium. RNAcentral describes it as "partial 16S ribosomal RNA". It matches the Rfam family "Bacterial small subunit ribosomal RNA", at positions 524 to 776 of the family's 1533-position model. The record is from RNAcentral.
UACGUAGGUGGCAAGCGUUGUCCGGAAUUAUUGGGCGUAAAGGGCGCGUAGGCGGCCUGGCAAGUGGAAGGUGAAAUCCCUCGGCUUAACCGAGGAACUGCCUUCCAAACUGCUUGGCUUGAGUCCGGGAGAGGUGAGUGGAAUUCCCAGUGUAGCAGUGAAAUGCGUAGAUAUUGGGAGGAACACCAGUGGCGAAGGCGGCUCACUGGACCGGAACUGACGCUGAUGCGCGAAAGCGUGGGGAGCAAACGGG